CCUACGGGAGGCAGCAGUGAGGAAUAUUGGUCAAUGGUCGGGAGACUGAACCAGCCAAGCCGCGUGAGGGAUGAAGGUACAGAGUAUCGUAAACCUCUUUUGUCAGGGAACAAAGGCGGGGACGUGUCCCCGGAUGAGUGUACCUGAAGAAGAAGCAUCGGCUAACUCCGUGCCAGCAGCCGCGGUAAUACGGAGGAUGCGAGCGUUAUCCGGGUUUAGUGGGUAUAAAGGGUGCGCAGGCGGUCUGUUAAGUCAGCGGUCAAAGCACGGGGCUCAACCCCGGCCCGCCGUUGAAACUGGCAGUCUCGAGUUGGAGAGAAGUAUGCGGAAUGCGCGGUGUAGCGGUGAAAUGCAUAGAUAUCGCGCAGAACUCCGAUUGCGAAGGCAGCAUGCCGGCUCCACACUGACGCUGAGGCACGAAAGCGUGGGUAUCGAACAGGAUUAGAUACCCGAGUAGUC
Molecule: ribosomal RNA, 459 nt
Filed under: uncultured bacterium
Lineage: Bacteria
Description: partial 16S ribosomal RNA
Rfam family: Bacterial small subunit ribosomal RNA
Source: RNAcentral